CUCUCAACCCCCUACAAUCAGAGAGAAAACUCUCUAAUGCAAGAACAUGCAUUAGCUUUGGAGAGUCUAGCAAAGGAAACAGAAUUUUAUUCCUCACAUGGCCUAACGUGAGCAAGUGGGCCUCUUUACAAGGAAAAACCACUGGGAGCUGAAAUGUCAACAUUCUUCACAGAAACCUGCAAAUAAUGAAACACAACUGUCUGGGAACCAAGGACCCCUCAAGUUCAGCGUAUCUGACAGGAGUAUGUUACAAUUUGAACUUGGCAGAAGAAAACUCAUCAUUGGACUACACUAAAACUGUGUAACAUUGCUUAAUUAUUCAAAAAAGUGCAUUAACUUCUUCCAAGGAGUUGCAAAAUGAAAAUAAAAUGGAAUAAAAUGUGAUACACUCAAAAAUCAUAAAACCGGGCCUACCAAAAUUUCUCCACGUGGUAGGUGCUCAAUAAACAUUUGCUGACUCAUUGAAAUCUCUUCCCAAUUAAUUUACCAAUAAAUGAAUAAAGUUAUUUAUGAUCAUGAUGGUAAUGGUUUA
Molecule: long non-coding RNA, 532 nt
Organism: Callithrix jacchus (white-tufted-ear marmoset)
Lineage: Eukaryota; Metazoa; Chordata; Mammalia; Primates; Cebidae
Source: RefSeq, a predicted model, not a curated record